Passer domesticus (house sparrow) is the source of this 2942-nucleotide long non-coding RNA. RefSeq lists it as uncharacterized. NCBI's taxonomy places the organism in Eukaryota, Metazoa, Chordata, Aves, Passeriformes, Passeridae. The transcript is spliced from 3 exons. The record is from RefSeq and is a predicted model, not a curated record.
CGGGGAGCCGGGCUCGGUUCGGUUCGGUUCGGCCGGGAGCGCCCCGGGCUCGGGGUCCCGGCUGGGAACGCUCCGGGCUCGGGGUCCCGGCUGGGAAAGCCCCGGGUUCGGUUCGGCUGGGAACGCUCCGGGCUCGGGGUCCCGGCUGGGACCCCACACCCCCGUGCCGGCCACACCACGGCCAGUCUUUCUUUAGACGCUUCCAGGUACGGCGACUCUGCCGCCUCGCUGGGCAGUGUUAAAAACGGGUUAGAAAGUGUUGUAAAAUAGUUGAUAAUCGUUAAGCGUGUACUGUAGUGUGGUUAUUUUAAAGCGUGUUCAGAGGGUAGUUAUAAGGUACUCAACGUACCGUGUUACACCUGAGUAAAGUGCACCAGCCCCAGCGAAAGGACACCUGGACAGAGCUGUAAUGGCCAAUCGAGCGCCUUAAACCCUGCAAAUGAAGGAUCCAAAAAGAAACCAAUCCAAAAGAAAAAAAAAAACAGGAUAAAAAGGGGCUUCUGACCCACUGGUUUUGUGCCGCUCCACCUGGAACAUCGGGGGCAUUGAAGCAGCCCCAGCGCCGGCGCCGCAGCAUCCUCAAUGGGAGCGCUCCUGCUCGGGCCCCACGCUUUGGGCCUUUCUUUUUAUUACAAUAAAUGCUGAAGUCGCUUUAAUACAGGGAGCCUGGUCCCCUUUUAACAGGCAGCACGGCCUGAUGUCUGAAUCAGUUUUUCUGUGGAGAAAUUGCUCCCAAUAUCCAAUCUAAACCUCCCCUGGCGCAGCUUAAGACUCUGAUUGCAUCAACACCAAAAGUGCCAGGACAGCCAAGUCCUGCUGGCCUUUACCUGCCCUGGGCAGCCUGGUAUCUGCCCCUGAAACACUGGGGCCAGCUGUUUUCUUUCCUAUGGAAAAGCAUCACCAUUCCCUUUCAGGGAUCCACCACUGAAAUUUGGAUAGAACCUCCAAGGAUUAGUAUGUGCAAGGAUUGAUCCCACUGAAAAGCUGUCGGGACAGAAAGGUGUUUCCUGAGCCCCUGGACAGCCUUGUCUGACCCAUUGACACUGAAACCAUGAGCAUUCCUUCCCAAGGAAAGGUACUGUCACUCUCUUCCAGCAGCCCAACUCCAAAAUGUGAAGCUGAUCUUCCACAUUGAAUAUGUCUGGGGAUUUCUCACAGAAAAAUGGUGCAAGGGCAGAAAGGAUUGCCUUUUCAGCCCUCCAUCACCCUAACACCUGCACAAACAAUGCUGGGCAGAGCUGCUUUCCUUCACAAAGUAAGGCCCUGUUGCCCUCUUUUUGCAGCCCAUCUGCAAAGUUUGGAUUCCAGUUUCAGAAAUUAAGAGGUUUAAAGACUGCUCCUACUCAACAGGUGCCAUGAAGAUCAGAUGUUACUCUGCCCCAGGAGCUUCAGAUGCAGCUUGUGUGGGGUGUGUGGGCAAAACCCUGAAUGUGUGUGGAUCCCCUGCCCAGGGGGCUGGAAAUCAGCCCAAGGCCACCGAGUUUCCCUAAAGUUUGCCAUGGGGCCAGCUGGAGAUGGGAGCACACUCUGUGCCCAUGGGAUCUGGGGAAGUGGAGCCCAGCAGCACUGAGACAGCUCCGUGUGGAAAUGACUUUAUUUAUGAAGUGUAAGGUGGUGAGACAGCAGCGAGUGUCAAAGAGCAGAUGUGCCAUCUGCAGCCCCACAGGCUGGCAAGGCUCAUCUGUGGGACAGAACCUCACAUUUAAAUCCUCCUGUUGCUACAACACAUCACACACACUGAUGGAGGUAUGGAAUAACUGCUGGUGGCUACCAGCAGCAUGAAUCUCCAAGAACAGCUGCUGCCACACAUGUACUGGUAGACAGAGCACCAACAGAAGCCAGGCUUUCAGAAAUCCAAAGAAGCAGUUGAAGUGAAGAAUUACAAAGAUUCACCGUUGCAGAAAUACAAAGAAAUUUCUCAAAGGAACUUCAAGGGAAAAGGAAGUGUGGAAUGUACAUGGACAGUCAAGCAAGAUGCCUCAACAAUAAGAAACCUUUAAAUUUUUUUUUUCACUUUUGUGAAGUACCUUUGUGCUCUACUUGUCUGUGCAGACACAUGCUGGGAAGAUGAGGAUCAGACACACUUUGCAGUACAAAUGUUAAAAUAGGAAACAGUGAUCCUUAUCCUAUUCAGUUCUUUAACGUUCCCAAUUUGUAGGCUGGCUUGAAUUGUCAGGAAAUACCAUUCUUGUCUCUAUCAUCUCUGAGAAGACUGAGACUGAAAUAAAAUCCAGAUGCAUGUUAAGUGACCUGUAGGGCCUCAGCCUUCUGUAUAAAUUUAAUGUUUUAGGUCUUAAACAUUCCCCAGCUUCCACCCCCAAAGAUACAAGAAAGACCUGGGCCACUCUGCAAUUUUUGUGUUAGAAUUACAGUGCUCUUUCCAGUUACAUGGAGAACUGGAUGUCAGAGAAGUUAAAAAGAAAAAAAAAAAAGGCAGGAAAAAUGCUAAGAUAGGUUAAUUCAUUUCAACAUCUUCAUCAACACAGGUGCCAGUUGCUCUUUCAGCUGUGGAUCAAUUUGAAUAUUGCUCAGUUCUUUGAUAUUGAGGAUCAUCUCAUGGGCUUGGAAAAAAAGCUCUUUCCCCACAGCAUCCUCCACCCGCCUGCGCCACUCCCUCAGCCUGGGUCUGUCUUCAAAGAUGUCACAACCAACUCCAACAGGCUGCAGAAAGGAGAGAGCAACAGUGAGGCUGGGGGCAGUCACUUCUCUGCUGAGACAACAGGCACAAAAGGAUACUUGCAGUUAUUCUGAGGACCUUUUCUGCAUCUGGGCUAUUACACCAUUAGCAGCAAUUAGUUGGAUUUCUUUCCCUUGGAGCACUGCAGUGACAGCCUGCAGAGGCUGGAAGAAACUGCUUCUGGUAUGAAUCUGCCUCAUAUUUGAAUUGCUUCUCUGUACUCUAUAGCCCAAAAAUCAAAUACCAAUAAAUUCAAGAAGAUAAA